Molecule: ribosomal RNA, 194 nt
Filed under: Acinetobacter baumannii
Lineage: Bacteria; Pseudomonadati; Pseudomonadota; Gammaproteobacteria; Moraxellales; Moraxellaceae
Description: partial 16S ribosomal RNA
Rfam family: Bacterial small subunit ribosomal RNA
Source: RNAcentral
UUUAACUGAAGAGUUUGAUCAUGGCUCAGAUUGAACGCUGGCGGCAGGCUUAACACAUGCAAGUCGAGCGGGGGAAGGUAGCUUGCUACUGGACCUAGCGGCGGACGGGUGAGUAAUGCUUAGGAAUCUGCCUAUUAGUGGGGGACAACAUCUCGAAAGGGAUGCUAAUACCGCAUACGUCCUACGGGAGAAAG